This 266-nucleotide long non-coding RNA is filed under the name Fragaria vesca (wild strawberry). RNAcentral's name for it is "long non-coding RNA (FVES_LNC002184)". The record is from RNAcentral. Lineage: Eukaryota; Viridiplantae; Streptophyta; Magnoliopsida; Rosales; Rosaceae.
CAAAAAAUGGCCAAGCUCAUCUCCACCGCCGCCGCCCUCUUCCUCCUCUUCGCCUUCUCCCACGCCCGCACGCCGUCCGAUCUCCCCAACGGCCUCGAUGUAAUCGCAGAUAACAAGAUCCCCGUAACCGACGCCGCAGAUAAGAUCCCCGUAACCGACGCCGAUGUUAAAGCCACCACCACAACAGACAACACUCUCCGUUUACCGAGCGAGAGACCCGGAUCCGAAACCGUUGUGGAAUCGGAGCCCGCGACCUUCGCGGAGGA